This 214-nucleotide long non-coding RNA is filed under the name Brassica napus (rape). RNAcentral describes it as "long non-coding RNA (BNAP_LNC027102)". Lineage: Eukaryota; Viridiplantae; Streptophyta; Magnoliopsida; Brassicales; Brassicaceae. The record is from RNAcentral.
GUUUCUUAAGUGUUGUUCUGUUUUUGUUUCUGUAUUAAGGCUUGGUUGUUUCUUAAGUGUUGUUCUGUUUUUGUUUCUGUAUUGCUAUAAAAAAAUGUUAUUCUCGGUUUCUAUAUCAGUAUAUCACAUUGCAUUCUUGUUUCUGUAUUGCUAUGACAAAUUACAUUAUUGUUGAUAACACACUGCUCUUCUUUGUUGUUAUAUAUCGCUUACA